UUAAGCGACUAAGCGUACACGGUGGAUGCCUAGGCAGUCAGAGGCGAUGAAGGGCGUGCUAAUCUGCGAAAAGCGUCGGUAAGGUGAUAUGAACCGUUAUAACCGACGAUACCCGAAUGGGGAAACCCAGUGCAAUUCGUUGCACUAUUGCAUGGUGAAUACAUAGCCAUGCAAGGCGAACCGGGGGAACUGAAACAUCUAAGUACCCCGAGGAAAAGAAAUCAACCGAGAUUCCCCCAGUAGCGGCGAGCGAACGGGGAGGAGCCCAGAACCUGAAUCAGCGUAUGUGUUAGUGGAAGCGUCUGGAAAGUCGCACGGUACAGGGUGAUAGUCCCGUACACAAAAAUGCAUAUGUUGUGAGUUCGAUGAGUAGGGCGGGACACGUGACAUCCUGUCUGAAUAUGGGGGGACCAUCCUCCAAGGCUAAAUACUCCUGACUGACCGAUAGUGAACCAGUACCGUGAGGGAAAGGCGAAAAGAACCCCGGCGAGGGGAGUGAAACAGAACCUGAAACCGUGUACGUACAAGCAGUGGGAGCACCUUCGUGGUGUGACUGCGUACCUUUUGUAUAAUGGGUCAGCGACUUAUAUUUUGUAGCAAGGUUAACCGAAUAGGGGAGCCGUAGGGAAACCGAGUCUUAACUGGGCGAAUAGUUGCAAGGUAUAGACCCGAAACCCGGUGAUCUAGCCAUGGGCAGGUUGAAGGUUGGGUAACACUAACUGGAGGACCGAACCGACUAAUGUUGAAAAAUUAGCGGAUGACUUGUGGCUGGGGGUGAAAGGCCAAUCAAACCGGGAGAUAGCUGGUUCUCCCCGAAAGCUAUUUAGGUAGCGCCUCGUGAACUCAUCUUCGGGGGUAGAGCACUGUUUCGGCUAGGGGGUCAUCCCGACUUACCAAACCGAUGCAAACUCCGAAUACCGAAGAAUGUUAUCACGGGAGACACACGGCGGGUGCUAACGUCCGUCGUGAAGAGGGAAACAACCCAGACCGCCAGCUAAGGUCCCAAAGUCAUGGUUAAGUGGGAAACGAUGUGGGAAGGCACAGACAGCCAGGAUGUUGGCUUAGAAGCAGCCAUCAUUUAAAGAAAGCGUAAUAGCUCACUGGUCGAGUCGGCCUGCGCGGAAGAUGUAACGGGGCUAAACCAUGCACCGAAGCUGCGGCAGCGAACGUAUCACUUAAAACGCUUAACGUGACGGCAAAGCCGGCAUGUUCAAGCCACACUAAACGUUGAGUUGGCCGAUGUGCUGACAAACGAACAGGCGUUUUAAGGAUACGUUCGUUGGGUAGGGGAGCGUUCUGUAAGCCGUUGAAGGUGACCUGUGAGGGUUGCUGGAGGAAUCAGAAGUGCGAAUGCUGACAUAAGUAACGAUAAUGCGGGUGAAAAACCCGCACGCCGGAAGACCAAGGGUUCCUGUCCAACGUUAAUCGGGGCAGGGUGAGUCGACCCCUAAGGCGAGGCUGAAAAGCGUAGUCGAUGGGAAACAGGUUAAUAUUCCUGUACUUGGUGUUACUGCGAAGGGGGGACGGAGAAGGCUAGGCUAGCCGGGCGACGGUUGUCCCGGUUUAAGCAUGUAGGCGGAGUGACCAGGUAAAUCCGGUUGCUUAUCAACGCUGAGGUGUGAUGACGAUGCACUACGGUGCAGAAGUAGUUGAUGCCAUGCUUCCAGGAAAAGCCUCUAAGCAUCAGGUAACAUGAAAUCGUACCCCAAACCGACACAGGUGGUCAGGUAGAGAAUACUCAGGCGCUUGAGAGAACUCGGGUGAAGGAACUAGGCAAAAUGGUGCCGUAACUUCGGGAGAAGGCACGCUGGCGCUAGGUGAAGAGACUUGCUCUCGGAGCUGAAGCCAGUCGCAGAUACCAGCUGGCUGCAACUGUUUAAUAAAAACACAGCACUGUGCAAACACGAAAGUGGACGUAUACGGUGUGACGCCUGCCCGGUGCUGGAAGGUUAAUUGAUGGGGUCAGCCGCAAGGCGAAGCUCUUGAUCGAAGCCCCAGUAAANUGUGAUGACGAGUCACUACGGUGAUGAAGUAGUUGAUGCCAUGCUUCCAGGAAAAGCCUCUAAGCAUCAGGUAACAUGAAAUCGUACCCCAAACCGACACAGGUGGUCAGGUAGAGAAUACUCAGGCGCUUGAGAGAACUCGGGUGAAGGAACUAGGCAAAAUGGUGCCGUAACUUCGGGAGAAGGCACGCUGGCAUUAGGUAAAGGGACUUGCUCCCGGCGCCGAAGCCAGUCGCAGAUACCAGCUGGCUGCAACUGUUUAAUAAAAACACAGCACUGUGCAAACACGAAAGUGGACGUAUACGGUGUGACGCCUGCCCGGUGCUGGAAGGUUAAUUGAUGGGGUCAGCCGCAAGGCGAAGCUCUUGAUCGAAGCCCCAGUAAACGGCGGCCGUAACUAUAACGGUCCUAAGGUAGCGAAAUUCCUUGUCGGGUAAGUUCCGACCUGCACGAAUGGCGUAAUGAUGGCCAGGCUGUCUCCACCCGAGACUCAGUGAAAUUGAACUCGCUGUGAAGAUGCAGUGUACCCGCGGCAAGACGGAAAGACCCCGUGAACCUUUACUAUAGCUUGACACUGAACAUUGAGCCUUGAUGUGUAGGAUAGGUGGGAGGCAUAGAAGUGUGGACGCCAGUCUGCAUGGAGCCAACCUUGAAAUACCACCCUUUAAUGUUUGAUGUUCUAACUCGGCCCCGUAAUCCGGGGUGAGGACAGUGUCUGGUGGGUAGUUUGACUGGGGCGGUCUCCUCCCAAAGAGUAACGGAGGAGCACGAAGGUUAGCUAAUCACGGUCGGACAUCGUGAGGUUAGUGCAAAGGCAUAAGCUAGCUUGACUGCGAGAGUGACGGCUCGAGCAGGUACGAAAGUAGGUCUUAGUGAUCCGGUGGUUCUGAAUGGAAGGGCCAUCGCUCAACGGAUAAAAGGUACUCCGGGGAUAACAGGCUGAUACCGCCCAAGAGUUCAUAUCGACGGCGGUGUUUGGCACCUCGAUGUCGGCUCAUCACAUCCUGGGGCUGAAGUAGGUCCCAAGGGUAUGGCUGUUCGCCAUUUAAAGUGGUACGCGAGCUGGGUUUAGAACGUCGUGAGACAGUUCGGUCCCUAUCUGCCGUGGGCGUUGGAAGAUUGAGAGGGGCUGCUCCUAGUACGAGAGGACCGGAGUGGACGAAUCACUGGUGUUCGGGUUGUCAUGCCAAUGGCAUUGCCCGGUAGCUAAAUUCGGAAGAGAUAACCGCUGAAAGCAUCUAAGCGGGAAACUUGCCUCGAGAUGAGUCUUCCCUGGGGCUUUAAGCCCCCUGAAGGAACGUUAAAGACGAUGACGUUGAUAGGCUGGGUGUGUAAGUGCAGCGAUGCAUUGAGCUAACCAGUACUAAUGAACCGUGAGGCUUAACCUU
This 3391-nucleotide ribosomal RNA is filed under the name Yersinia enterocolitica. RNAcentral's name for it is "bacterial LSU rRNA". It matches the Rfam family "Bacterial large subunit ribosomal RNA". The record is from RNAcentral. Lineage: Bacteria; Pseudomonadati; Pseudomonadota; Gammaproteobacteria; Enterobacterales; Yersiniaceae.